UUGUAGGACUGAUGUUGAGUUACAAAGGUAUAAGAUAGCAGAAACAGUUGGGAAGCUGUUCCAAAGAGGGUGACAGGCCCGUAUGCGAAAUCUUGUACUCUCUAAUCAGGAUCCUGAGUACGGCCCAGCACGUGAAAUUGGGUCGGAAUCUGGGAGGACCAUCUCCCAAGGCUAAAUACUAACUAGUGACCGAUAGCGAACAAGUACCGUGAGGGAAAGGUGAAAAGAACCCCGGAAGGGGAGUGAAAUAGUUCUUGAAACCGUGUGCUUACAAGAAGUUCGAGGCCGUUAAUGGCUGAGAGCGUGCUUUUUGUAGAAUGAACCGGAGAGUUACGAUUGCGUGCAAGGUUAAGGUGCAAAGACUGGAGCCGUAGCGAAAGCGAGUCUUAAUAGGGCGAAUCAGUACGUAGUUGUAGACCCGAAACCGAGUGACCUAUCCAUGGUCAGGUUGAAGGUGGGGUAAUACCUACUGGAGGACCGAACAAGUGGGUGUUAAAAAACCCUUUGAUGAACUGUGGAUAGCGGUGAAAUUCCAAUCGAACUCGGAGAUAGCUGGUUCUAUCCGAAAUACAUUUAGGUGUAGCCUUGCAAUUAGCUUACUGGAGGUAGAGCACUAUUUGGUCUAGGGGCCCUUCAAGGGUUACCAAAAUCAGAUAAACUCCGAAUGCCAGCUAAGUAUGUGCAGGAGUCAGACGGUGAGUGAUAAGAUCCAUCGUCAAAAGGGGAACAGCCCAGAUCACCAGUUAAGGUCCCUAAAUAUAUGCUAAGUGGAAAACGUUGUGAAGGUGCAUAG
RNAcentral lists this ribosomal RNA (793 nucleotides) under Oenococcus oeni. RNAcentral describes it as "bacterial LSU rRNA". It matches the Rfam family "Bacterial large subunit ribosomal RNA", at positions 296 to 1088 of the family's 2925-position model. The record is from RNAcentral. Lineage: Bacteria; Bacillati; Bacillota; Bacilli; Lactobacillales; Lactobacillaceae.